Molecule: non-coding RNA, 44 nt
Filed under: Trypanosoma brucei brucei
Lineage: Eukaryota; Euglenozoa; Kinetoplastea; Trypanosomatida; Trypanosomatidae
Source: RNAcentral
UAAAUCAACAAAAGGUCAGUAUAGAUAGACAUAGUAUGAGAAAU